Molecule: non-coding RNA, 93 nt
Organism: Ceratotherium simum simum (southern white rhinoceros)
Lineage: Eukaryota; Metazoa; Chordata; Mammalia; Perissodactyla; Rhinocerotidae
Source: RefSeq, a predicted model, not a curated record
GUAGCAGAAAUUGACAAGAGGCCCAACCAAAGCCUCAGACAAGGUUUUACUGGGGCUUAUGCUCCAGCACAAGGGAGACAGCACAGGAGAAGU